GCUGGUGUAGCUCAAUUGGCAGAGCAGCUGAUUUGUAAUCAGCAGGUUGGGGGUUCGAUUCCUCUCGCCAGCUCCA
RNAcentral lists this transfer RNA (76 nucleotides) under Negativicutes bacterium. Its description in RNAcentral is "tRNA-Thr". It matches the Rfam family "tRNA". Rfam says of the family: Transfer RNA (tRNA) molecules are approximately 80 nucleotides in length. Their secondary structure includes four short double-helical elements and three loops (D, anti-codon, and T loops). Lineage: Bacteria; Bacillati; Bacillota; Negativicutes. The record is from RNAcentral.